RNAcentral lists this ribosomal RNA (254 nucleotides) under uncultured Synergistaceae bacterium. RNAcentral's name for it is "partial 16S ribosomal RNA". It matches the Rfam family "Bacterial small subunit ribosomal RNA", at positions 796 to 1041 of the family's 1533-position model. The record is from RNAcentral. Lineage: Bacteria; Thermotogati; Synergistota; Synergistia; Synergistales; Synergistaceae.
CUAGCCGUAAACGAUGGAUACUAGGUGUGGGUGUCGCAGGGCAUCCGUGCCGCAGUUAACGCGUUAAGUAUCCCGCCUGGGGACUACGGUCGCAAGACUGAAACUCAAAGGAAUUGACGGGGGCCCGCACAAGCGGUGGAGCACGUGGUUUAAUUCGAUGCAAACCGAAGAACCUUACCUGGGCUUGACAUGCAGAUGGUAUAGAAGUGAAAGCGGAUAGACCUUGCAGUAAUGUAGGGAGUCUGCACAGGUGC